GCCGGGGUGGCCAAGCUGGGAAGGCGCCCGGCUGAAGACCGGGUAUACGCGUGGGUUCAAGUCCCACCCCCGGCA
Molecule: transfer RNA, 75 nt
Filed under: Candidatus Bathyarchaeota archaeon
Lineage: Archaea; Thermoproteati; Candidatus Bathyarchaeota
Description: tRNA-Phe
Rfam family: tRNA
About the family: Transfer RNA (tRNA) molecules are approximately 80 nucleotides in length. Their secondary structure includes four short double-helical elements and three loops (D, anti-codon, and T loops).
Source: RNAcentral